AUAACAAUACAGUACUCUUUAGAGGCCCUGUAAUUGUAAUGAGUUCACUUGAAAUCCUUUAACUAGGAUCUAUUGGAGGGCAAGUCUGGUGCAGAGCGGCUGACCCGGGCGUGCUGCAGCUGAAA
This 125-nucleotide ribosomal RNA is filed under the name Pelobates cultripes (western spadefoot toad). RNAcentral describes it as "SSU_rRNA_eukarya". The record is from RNAcentral. Lineage: Eukaryota; Metazoa; Chordata; Amphibia; Anura; Pelobatidae.